RNAcentral lists this ribosomal RNA (273 nucleotides) under uncultured bacterium. RNAcentral's name for it is "partial 16S ribosomal RNA". The record is from RNAcentral.
CUGCUGCCUCCCGUAGGAGUCUGGUCCGUGUCUCAGUACCAGUGUGGGGGACCUUCCUCUCAGAACCCCUACGCAUCGUCGCCUUGGUGGGCCGUUACCCCGCCAACAAGCUAAUGCGACGCAUGACCAUCCGUAGCCGGAAUCGCUUCCUUUAAACCCACAGAGAUGCCUCCAUGGGUUGUUACGCGGUAUUAGACGGAAUUUCUUCCGCUUAUCCCCUGCUACGGGCAGGUUUCAUACGUGUUACUCACCCGUGCGCCGGUCGCCGGCGGG